UCGGGUAUGGUGUAACGGCUAACAUUGCCGCCUCUCAUGCAUGUGCCUCGUGUCACGAUCGCGGCAGCUCGGGGUUCGAUUCCCCGUACCCGAA
Molecule: non-coding RNA, 94 nt
Organism: Tephrocybe sp. NHM501043
Lineage: Eukaryota; Fungi; Basidiomycota; Agaricomycetes; Agaricales; Lyophyllaceae
Source: the annotation of a GenBank genome assembly